CGAGUCGGUCGGACGGUCGCGUCGGCGGUUGCCCUCGGGCGCCGUCGCCGAGGAACGUCCGGGCUCCGAAGGGCAAGGUGGUGGCUAACGGCCACCCGGGGUGACCCGCGGGACAGUGCCACAGAAAACAGACCGCCGUCGCCGGGCGACCGGUGGCGGUCAGGGUGAAACGGUGGUGUAAGAGACCACCAGCGCGGCCGGUGACGGUCGUGGCUAGGUAAACCCCACCUGGAGCAAGGUCAGACAGGGAGCGUUCGAGGGUUGCCCGCCCGAUGCUCCCGGGUAGACCGCUCGAGCCCUGCGGCAACGCAGGGCCUAGAUGGAUGACCGUCGCCCGCGCGGGGGUGACCCCGCGCGGGAACAGAACCCGGCGUACAGACCGGCUCGUCCG
RNAcentral lists this RNase P RNA (391 nucleotides) under Krasilnikoviella flava. RNAcentral's name for it is "Promicromonospora flava Bacterial RNase P class A". It matches the Rfam family "Bacterial RNase P class A". Rfam says of the family: Ribonuclease P (RNase P) is a ubiquitous endoribonuclease, found in archaea, bacteria and eukarya as well as chloroplasts and mitochondria. Its best characterised activity is the generation of mature 5'-ends of tRNAs by cleaving the 5'-leader elements of precursor-tRNAs. Lineage: Bacteria; Bacillati; Actinomycetota; Actinomycetes; Micrococcales; Promicromonosporaceae. The record is from Rfam by way of RNAcentral.